CCUCCUUUAAAGAAAUCGGAAUAAGGCGUGAAAGCGCCCGCACAAUCUGCCUCAUCAUCGUAAAGAUAGACCGCGGGUCUGUAGCUCAGUCGGUUAGAGCGCACCCCUGAUAAGGGUGAGGUCGGAAGUUCAACUCUUCCCAGACCCACCACCUUAGAGCCUGUAGGAGCAACAAGGGAGUAGGGGGCCAUAGCUCAGAUGGGAGAGCACCUGCUUUGCAAGCAGGGGGUCGGCGGUUCGAUCCCGCCUGGCUCCACCAGGCGCUAAACGGCGGCGGCAAAUUACCGCCGCCGUUUAUCUCCUGGCCGGAGUGCCACGGGACGUUCUUUUACAAUUUAGGUAGUGAUGUACGACGGUGAAGUCGGGACAUCGUUUGACGUCCGGACUUUACUGGGUAUGCCAGCAUUUAUUAUGGUAGUAGUUGUGAUCCCAUUAAGAGCAGUCUUUUUGGGGUUUAUAUGAUCAAGCGACUAACCGCCCAUGGUGGAUGCCCUUGGCGGCAAGAGGCCAAUGAAGGACGUGGUACCUGCGAUAAACCUUCCGA
RNAcentral lists this transfer RNA (544 nucleotides) under uncultured Chromatiales bacterium. RNAcentral's name for it is "partial 16S-23S ribosomal RNA intergenic spacer". The stretch from base 75 to 148 matches the Rfam family "tRNA". Lineage: Bacteria; Pseudomonadati; Pseudomonadota; Gammaproteobacteria; Chromatiales. The record is from RNAcentral.